CUAAGCAGUAAGGCUGAGUAUUAGGCAAAUCCGGUACUCAUUAAGGCUGAGCUGUGAUGGGGAGAAGACAUUGUGUCUUCGAGUCGUUGAUUUCACACUGCCGAGAAAAGCCUCUAGAUAGAAAAUAGGUGCCCGUACCGCAAACCGACACAGGUAGUCAAGAUGAGAAUUCUAAGGUGAGCGAGCGAACUCUCGUUAAGGAACUCGGCAAAAUGACCCCGUAACUUCGGGAGAAGGGGUGCUCUUUAGGGUUAACGCCCAGAAGAGCCGCAGUGAAUAGGCCCAAGCGACUGUUUAUCAAAAACACAGGUCUCUGCUAAACCGUAAGGUGAUGUAUAGGGGCUGACGCCUGCCCGGUGCUGGAAGGUUAAGAGGAGUGGUUAGCUUCUGCGAAGCUACGAAUCGAAGCCCCAGUAAACGGCGGCCGUAACUAUAACGGUCCUAAGGUAGCGAAAUUCCUUGUCGGGUAAGUUCCGACCCGCACGAAAGGCGUAACGAUUUGGGCACUGUCUCAACGAGAGACUCGGUGAAAUCAUAGUACCUGUGAAGAUGCAGGUUACCCGCGACAGGACGGAAAGACCCCGUGGAGCUUUACUGUAGCCUGAUAUUGAAAUUCGGCACAGCUUGUACAGGAU
Molecule: ribosomal RNA, 635 nt
Filed under: Staphylococcus aureus
Lineage: Bacteria; Bacillati; Bacillota; Bacilli; Caryophanales; Staphylococcaceae
Description: partial 23S ribosomal RNA
Rfam family: Bacterial large subunit ribosomal RNA
Source: RNAcentral